UUUUUGAUUAAUAAUUUAAAGUCUAAUCUGCCCACUGAUAAUAUAUUAAAGGGCUGCAGUAUUUUGACUGUACAAAGGUAGCAUAAUCAAUAGUCUCUUAAUUGGUGACUUGUAUGAAAGAUUUAAUGAGAUAUAUACUGUCUCUUUUUAAUUUAUAAAAUUUAAUUUUUUAGUUAAAAAGCUAAAAUAAAUUUAAAAGACGAGAAGACCCUAUAGAGUUUAAUAUUUAAUUAAAUUAAAAUUAUUUAUAAAAUUUAAAAUUUUAAUUUAUAAUAAAUAUUUUGUUGGGGUGAUAAAAAAAUUAAAAGAACUUUUUUUAUAAAUUUACAUUAAUAAAUGAAUAAAUGAUCCGUAAUUUACGAUUAAAAGAAAAAAUUACCUUAGGGAUAACAGCGUAAUUUUUUUUUUUAGUUCAAAUAAGAAAAAAAGUUUGCGACCUCGAUGUUGGAUUAAGAUAAAAUUUAAAUGCAAAAGUUUAAAAUUUUUGAUCUGUUCGAUCAUUAAAAUCUUACA
The sequence is a ribosomal RNA, 513 nucleotides long. The stretch from base 386 to 513 matches the Rfam family "Bacterial large subunit ribosomal RNA", at positions 2473 to 2600 of the family's 2925-position model.